Molecule: long non-coding RNA, 1272 nt
Organism: Cyprinus carpio carpio
Lineage: Eukaryota; Metazoa; Chordata; Actinopteri; Cypriniformes; Cyprinidae
Source: Ensembl
GCAGAUCUAAGUCUGUUUAUCGGACAUUGGUGAAAUAUUUAAGCUGUUGAAAACUCUGGAUGGUUUCUAGACAGUCGUUGGAAAAAUUAAACAAGCAACACAAAUGACUCAUGAGUUCUUUAUAUUGAAUUAAAAAGUAUUGCCUACAGCGCAAAAAAGUUUCCGAUUCACAAACAGUUAAAAGAAACAAUACAGCAUACAGCAUAUAGCUAUGCAAAAAAGAUUCAUAUUUGUGAACAAAUGACUCUUAUGAGCCGGUUCUUUUUAUUGAAUCAAAAACAUACAGCAUAAACAGUAGUCUGAUUCAAGAAAAAAAUGACUCUUACAAGCCAGCUAUUCUUUUUAGUGAAAUAAACACAUAACUAGUGUUGUCUGAUUCACGAAAAGGAAUUCUUCUUCUUGGCGAAUUUGUAAAGAUUUACAACAGUUGACUCUUAUGAGCCAGUUCUUUUUAGUGAACCAAAAACAUACAGUGCAAACAGUGCAGUCAGACUGAUGAAAAAAAGACUCUUAAGAGCUGGUUCUUUUAAGGGAAUAAAAAAAACACUGAAUCCUCUUUUAUCCGAUUCACAAACAAAUGACUCAUAUGGGCCGGAUCUCAGCAGGACUCAUCAGUUGCUGGUUUGAAUCAGUUUUGACAUAUUUUUAAAUGAAUGAACAAUUCCAUCACUCAUCAGUGGUUACUGAAAUAACAUCUGACUUUAAAUGAGCAGCAUGUUAACAUUUUUAGUGUUCAUCUCGAAGGCAAGUUUUGUGUACCUGACUCCUCCAGUACCCUUUCCCCCAUCUCUAAAUUGUCUUCCUGUGAGCAGAACACUGCGUCCUGUUUAUGCAAAUAAAUACGCAUUCACAUUACAACUCCACUGUUUCAAAACACAGAAAACAAGAAUAAUUACAAAGCAAAAUUAGAUAAGGACAUUUCACACAGAAUUCUUCCUAUUGUGCCUUCAUACAUACUACUGUGGUCAUUUUCUUCAGAGACGAUGGAGUCUCAUUGCUUUCCAGGAGAAACAAUUUUUGAGGCUGACUAUCUACUGACUCCGUCUUCUCUAAAUUUCAUAUUAUAAGCACAGAUGACAUAUGCAGAUAUCAGAAGCGAGGUGCAGUAAGGACGGAUGGAUGUGUGUUUAUUUGAGGCUGAUUCAUCAGUCCGUCUAAGUGAAACAGCUGCAUUCAGAACAGCAUGCUCAUUAGGAGAUACUUCUGCACUGAAACUAGACAGAACAUUUUCAUUUUUAUAAUGCGUUCUGUCACUACGAAGUACAAGUCUUG